AUACGUAGGGAGCAAGCGUUGUCCGGAAUUACUGGGCGUAAAGGGUGCGUAGGCGGUCAGACAAGUCAGAUGUGAAAGACCGGGGCUCAACCCCGGGGUUGCAUUUGAAACUGCCUGACUUGAGUGCAGGAGAGGUAAGUGGAAUUCCUAGUGUAGCGGUGAAAUGCGUAGAUAUUAGGAGGAACACCAGUUGCGAAGGCGGCUCUCUGGACUGUAACUGACACUGAGGCAC
This 232-nucleotide ribosomal RNA is filed under the name uncultured bacterium. RNAcentral's name for it is "partial 16S ribosomal RNA". It matches the Rfam family "Bacterial small subunit ribosomal RNA", at positions 523 to 754 of the family's 1533-position model. The record is from RNAcentral.